RNAcentral lists this long non-coding RNA (1044 nucleotides) under Piliocolobus tephrosceles (Ugandan red Colobus). Its description in RNAcentral is "lncRNA (ENSPTEG00000007264.1)". Lineage: Eukaryota; Metazoa; Chordata; Mammalia; Primates; Cercopithecidae. The record is from RNAcentral.
ACUAAUAUCGAAAAGUCAAACGAACCACCAGAAACAAAAUAAUCAAUGUGCAUCAUCAUUUUCUCAGUUUCAAGUGGGUGAUGAAAAACAGAUGGAAAAAAGUAUGGACUUUUCCGAAUUUGAUAUUAAAGCGUUUGAUGAGUUUAAUAGUGCGUUAGGUAGCGCGCAAAAUGUGGUAGGAAACACUAACAACAUGGGUAACGAUGUGCACCAUAAUGUAGACAUGCUCGAAAAUCAUAAAAAAUAUACCGUAGAAUAUAUACACAAUGGAGAAUCCAAAGAAAUUGUGGUUGAUAAAAAAAAAAACGGAGUUGAAUAUGAGUCAAAUAAUGAUAUCGAAAAGAAUGCAAACAGUUUUAAUAAAAUGAUAUCAAGUGGUACUAAUACAUUAAUGGAAGGCGUAGAAAAAAAUAGAUUACUAUAUAAUACUAAUAACAAUAAUUGCUACAAUAUAAGUAACGAAUCAAUAACAGUAGAUUUAAUGAAAAAAAAACGAGAAAAACAAAUAAAUAAAAUUAUAAAAAAAUGUGAAUGGAUUACACAGACUUAUCCAUUUGGUUUAUGUCCAAUAAUUGUUAAUAAUACAUUUUCACAUGAAUGGGAUGAACAAAUUGUUUUUAUGCGCCGUGACUCUUACAAUAUUCCUACUACUAUUAGAAAAAUAUAUCCAGAUCGUAGUGACUAUUAUAUUAUUCAAGAAACUGCAACCGUGCCUACCUUUGCUAGCUCUUAUUUCAAAACAAAUGCUUCUUCUUCUUGUUAUUUAGAACAAUUUUAUAAAUAUCAAAAUAAAAUAGAUGAUAAGUUACAAUGUAUGCAAUUUAGUACAGAAAACAUUUUUAACAAAGUAGCAACAAAAAAUAUGUAUCUAUUAAAAAGAUUAUUAAAAACGUAUAAAAGAAAUGUUAGUUUCAACGAAUCAAAUAAUGUACAAAUAAAAUAUGACAACACUACUGCUAUAACAAAUGACCAAAAAAUAAAUAUCUACUUAAAUAAUCGAAAAAUAAGUAACGACUCCAACAGUUACCAAAAUUAUGAUAAUUC